This 497-nucleotide ribosomal RNA is filed under the name uncultured bacterium. RNAcentral's name for it is "partial 16S ribosomal RNA". It matches the Rfam family "Bacterial small subunit ribosomal RNA", at positions 28 to 507 of the family's 1533-position model. The record is from RNAcentral.
GACGAACGCUGGCGGCGUGCCUAAUACAUGCAAGUAGAACGCUGAAGAGAGGAGCUUGCUCUUCUUGGAUGAGUUGCGAACGGGUGAGUAACGCGUAGGUAACCUGCCUUGUAGCGGGGGAUAACUAUUGGAAACGAUAGCUAAUACCGCAUAACAAUGGAUGACACAUGUCAUUUAUUUGAAAGGGGCAAUUGCUCCACUACAAGAUGGACCUGCGUUGUAUUAGCUAGUAGGUGAGGUAAUGGCUCACCUAGGCGACGAUACAUAGCCGACCUGAGAGGGUGAUCGGCCACACUGGGACUGAGACACGGCCCAGACUCCUACGGGAGGCAGCAGUAGGGAAUCUUCGGCAAUGGGGGCAACCCUGACCGAGCAACGCCGCGUGAGUGAAGAAGGUUUUCGGAUCGUAAAGCUCUGUUGUAAGUCAAGAACGGGUGUGAGAGUGGAAAGUUCACACUGUGACGGCAGCUUACCAGAAAGGGACGGCUAACUACGUG